UCGAGGGGCAGCGAGUAGAUUGCUUGCAAUCUACGUCGGCGACCGGCGCAUGGGUGCGUAACGCGUAUGCAACCUACCCAUUACAGGGGGAUAACACUGAGAAAUCGGUACUAAUACCCCAUAACAUCCAGGGAGGCAUCUUCUUGGGUUGAAAACUCCGGUGGUAAUGGAUGGGCAUGCGUUGUAUUAGUUAGUUGGUGGGGUAACGGCUCACCAAGACGACGAUACAUAGGGGGACUGAGAGGUUAACCCCCCACAUUGGUACUGAGACACGGACCAAACUCCUACGGGAGGCAGCAGUGAGGAAUAUUGGUCAAUGGACGCAAGUCUGAACCAGCCAUGCCGCGUGCAGGAAGACGGCUCUAUGAGUUGUAAACUGCUUUUGUACGAGGGUAAACGCAGAUACGUGUAUCUGUCUGAAAGUAUCGUACGAAUAAGGAUCGGCUAACUCCGUGCCAGCAGCCGCGGUAAUACGGAGGAUUCAAGCGUUAUCCGGAUUUAUUGGGUUUAAAGGGUGCGUAGGCGGUCGGAUAAGUUAGAGGUGAAAUCCCGGGGCUCAACUUCGGAAUUGCCUCUGAUACUGUUCGGCUAGAGAGUAGUUGCGGUAGGCGGAAUGUAUGGUGUAGCGGUGAAAUGCUUAGAGAUCAUACAGAACACCGAUUGCGAAGGCAGCUUACCAAGCUACUUCUGACGUUGAGGCACGAAAGCGUGGGGAGCAAACAGGAUUAGAUACCCUGGUAGUCCACGCAGUAAACGAUGAUAACUCGUUGUCGGCGA
Molecule: ribosomal RNA, 777 nt
Filed under: uncultured bacterium
Lineage: Bacteria
Description: bacterial SSU rRNA
Rfam family: Bacterial small subunit ribosomal RNA
Source: RNAcentral